RNAcentral lists this long non-coding RNA (993 nucleotides) under Salmo salar (Atlantic salmon). RNAcentral's name for it is "lncRNA (ENSSSAG00000099016.1)". Lineage: Eukaryota; Metazoa; Chordata; Actinopteri; Salmoniformes; Salmonidae. The record is from RNAcentral.
GUAGUAGAGACUGCAGUAGAAACUGUAGUAGAUACUGCAGUAGAGACUGUGGUAGAGACUGUAGUAGAGACUGCAGUAGAGACUAUAGUAGAGACUGCAGUAGAGACUGUAGUAGAGUCUGUAGUCGAGCCUGCAGUAGAGACUGUAGUAGAGACUGCAGUAGAGACUGCAGUAGAGACUGCAGUAGAGACUGCAGUAGAGACUAUAGUAGAGACUGUAGUAGAGACUGCAGUAGAGACUGUAGUAGAGACUGUAGUAGAGACUGUAGUAGAGACUGCAGUAGAAACUGUAGUAGAUACUGCAGUAGAGACUGUGGUAGAGACUUUAGUAGAGACUGUGGUAGAGACUGUAGUAGAAACUGUAGUAGAGACUACAGUAGAGACUGCAGUAGAGACUGUAGUAGAAACUGUAGUAGAGACUGUGGUAGAGACUGUAGUAGAGACUGCAGUAGAGACUAUAGUAGAGACUGUAGUAGAGGUAGCGACUGUAGUAGAGACUGCAGUAGAGACCGUAGUAGAGGUAGAGUCUGUAGUCGAGCCUGCAGUAGAGACUGUAGUAGAGGUAGAGACGGCUGUAGAGACUGUAUUAGAUACUGCAGUAGCGGGAGACUGUAGUAAAGACUAGCAGAGGUAGAGACUGUAGUUGAGACUGUAGUCGAGAUUGUAGUAGAGACUGCAGUAGAAACUGUAGUAGAGACUACAGUAGAGACUGCAGUAGAGACUGUAAUAGAGACUGUAGUAGAGUAUGCAGUAGAGACUGUAGUAGAGACUGUAGUAGAGACUACUGUAGAGACUGUAGUAGAGACUGCAGUAGAGACUGUAGUAGAGAACGUAGUAGAGACUACUGUAGAGACAGUAGUAGAGACUGUAGUAUUGACUGCAGUAGAGACUGCAGUAGAGACUGUAGUAGAGACUAGUAGAGACUGCAGUAGAGACUGCACUAGAGACUGUAGUAGAGACUGUAGUAGAGACUGUAGUAGAGACUGCAGUAGAG